UACAGGGGGUGCAAACGUUGCUCGGAAUUAUUGGGCGUAAAAGGCUUGUAGGUGGCCACGCCAAGUCGGAUGUGAAAUCUCCCGGCUCAACUGGGAGGGGUCAUUCGAUACUGGCGGGCUCGAGGCCGGUAGGGGGAAGUGGAAUUCCCGGUGUAGUGGUGGAAUGCGUAGAUAUCGGGAGGAACACCAGUGGCGAAGGCGGCUUCCUGGACCGGUUCUGACACUGAGGAGCGAAAGCGUGGGGAGCGAUCCGG
This 254-nucleotide ribosomal RNA is filed under the name uncultured bacterium. Its description in RNAcentral is "partial 16S ribosomal RNA". It matches the Rfam family "Bacterial small subunit ribosomal RNA", at positions 524 to 776 of the family's 1533-position model. The record is from RNAcentral.